Molecule: long non-coding RNA, 2361 nt
Organism: Leptonychotes weddellii (Weddell seal)
Lineage: Eukaryota; Metazoa; Chordata; Mammalia; Carnivora; Phocidae
Source: RefSeq, a predicted model, not a curated record
CUCACAACCCCAAGAUCAAGAGUCACAUGCUCUACCGACUAAGCCCACCACGACUGGCUGUUGUUUAUCUCCUUGGUUUGAAUGGGAGCUCCAGAGCCGCACCCCAGCCUUGAAGCAUGCCUGGAACCUGCUGCCCCAGCCCUCAGCCAGAACCCUUGGGAGGCUGGAGAAAUGAAAAGAAGAAGGAAGUCAGUGGGGAGUUGGGUUCAGUCCAAGAGGAUCAGCUUCCCGUCAGGGCUGACUCGUGGAUGCUGCCCUGGCCUGUGAAGUGAGGCCACGGGGUUUCUUCAGCCAAGAGGACAAAAGGCAUGUGCAGCAGAGAUUGCUGCUCACGAGACACCCAUGGGCCCCCUUCAGUUCCCAGCUCCCGUGUAUCUUCAUGAGGCUGUAAGCAGGAGUGAAGGCAAUCUCUUCCAGGUCAGGUCCUGCACAUCCCUCUGCUCUCUCCCUGCCACUGCCAUCUGGGAGGCCAUGUAUUCCUUAUGGUGUAGCUACAGGAUGAGGGAGGGCUGUCUGUCCUACGCUGGACUUUGAGCAAGAAAUAAACCUUUACUACGUUAAGCCGUUGAGAUGGGGGGGGAGGGUUCUGUUAGCAUGGCGUAAGCUAUCCUAUCCUAAUACAAAAUCCCUUUUGGAUGCUCACUGGGGGCCCCUACCUUGAGGUGGCUGUCAGAGAUCUGGACUUUGUCACACAUCUCUUGGAAGAGCUUCACACCUCCCUGGUCCAGGAGCACACAGACAAACACCCCACGCUUGUUGGCCGCCUCUAGAAUGUCACAGAAGAUCUCCACAUCUGUGAACAUAUCCAUCACGAUGGCCAGGACCUGGGCCAGGGCAGAGGGGUGGAAACAAAAAGAGUCAGGGGCCAGGUGCUAACUGGUUUCAGCAGAGUUUCCCAAGUCCCGGUGGCCCUAAGAGAGCAGUUCCCAUUGCUGCUGCCCUGGAGGAGAAAGCGUGAGAUGGGGGGCUCGCCAGGGCAGCAUUCGAGGGAACAGAGCUGGAGGGGAGGCCUCCGCCCUGACUCCAUCUGUCCAGCCCAACCACUGACCGUCCAGCCUCCCGGCCCACUGCUGGAGUGCGGCAUGCACGGGAGGAAGGAGACGAAGGCAGAGAAGGAGCACAAGGAGGGGAAAAGGAGAACAGGAGGUGACCAGGCAGGCUCAGAGCUGAGGGAUGGAUUCAACGUCCCGGGUGCUCAGCCAUGUGGAGCUCGAAGGCACUCUAUGGCCCCUGGUUUUCAAAUGUUUUUAAGCCACGCAAUACUGCCUCGAACAAAAUCCCCGUGGAGACCCUACAGAUCGACUGGACAAGGCUGAGCUGCCCCAAUGGGAUGCAGAAGGGAGUCCUCCUCUAUCAUAACAGAAUCCUGGGGAGGGGGGCAGAGAGCCCUAGAAAUCCAGCAAAAGGGGGAGACGUGUGUACGCCCGCCUGCCAAGGACCCACCCCUCCUGUUGCCAGCCAAUCUCACUUUAAUCAAUCACUUCUCCACAAGCAACGUGACUUGGGCGGGGCCACUGCCAGGCGUCGGAUUGGGCGCGGGGAGGGCACAUCACCAAGGCCAGACCAAUGAGAGCACGGCAUCCCCUGCUGGCCACAGAGAUUGGCCCAGGGCUGCUCACAUGACCUAAGUUAUUCUAAUGAGGGCCGGCCCAGGACUUCUGCUGGGCCUGGGGGAAAGGAGCGGGGGUUGCUCGGCUCGUGGAGGAGGAGCUACAGCUGCUAGCAGCCAUCUUGCCGCCACGUGGGGACAGCCUGCCUGAAAAUGAAGUCAGCCCCCGCGGAAGCAGGACCAAGCACAUUGCCAGCAGCAUCCUUCGAACAUCUGGUUUCAGUCAUGCUUGGAAGUCAGUCCUACCCUUGACUUUCCCACUGUAGAUGUCAGUGCAUGCUCCUCUUCUUAGACUUGUUUGGGGUUGUUUUCCACGGUAUUGUGAUUUAUAAAAAGAAAUGUAUAUUUGGUCUUUGUCCUUGUUUCUGGCACCAAGCUCUAAAACACUUGGAAUUUCCUAAGUGGUGAGAGCGGAGAGAUAAAGGUCCUUUGUUAUGUUAAUGAGGUGACUUUUGGAUGAGGGCUGGUUGCCUGGGGAACCAACUAAGUGAUUAGAGGGUUGGAAUUUUCUGUCCCUCCUACCCCCCUACCCCAAGGAAGGAGAGAGGGGCUGGAGGUUGAAUCAACUGCCAAUGUCAAUGAUGUAAUCAUUCGUGGUGUAACUGAAGCCUACCUAAAAACCCAAGAGGAUGGGUUCAGAGAGCUUCUGGGUUGGUGAUUUGGGGAGAGCAGAGUGCUCAGAGAAGGUAUGGAACUUCCAUGCCCUUCCCCAUACCUUGCUCUGUGCAUCUCUUCCAUCUGGCUGUUCCUGA